UACUCCCUAUGGGGGGCAGCAGUGGGGGAUAUUGCACAAUGGGGGAAACCCUGAUGCAGCGACGCCGCGUGGGUGAAGAAGCGCCUCGGCGCGUAAGGCCCUGUCAGCAGGGAAGAAAAUGACGGUACCUGAAGAAGAAGCCCCGGCUAACUACGUGCCAGCAGCCGCGGUAAUACGUAGGGGGCAAGCGUUAUCCGGAUUUACUGGGUGUAAAGGGGGCGCAGUCGGCGAUGCAAGCCAGGAGUGAAAGCCCGGCGCCCAACCCCGGGAC
RNAcentral lists this ribosomal RNA (271 nucleotides) under uncultured bacterium. Its description in RNAcentral is "partial 16S ribosomal RNA". It matches the Rfam family "Bacterial small subunit ribosomal RNA", at positions 333 to 621 of the family's 1533-position model. The record is from RNAcentral.